RNAcentral lists this ribosomal RNA (275 nucleotides) under uncultured bacterium. RNAcentral's name for it is "partial 16S ribosomal RNA". It matches the Rfam family "Bacterial small subunit ribosomal RNA", at positions 399 to 691 of the family's 1533-position model. The record is from RNAcentral.
GCGUGAGUGAAGAAGGCCUUAGGGUUGUAAAGCUCUUUCGCCGGGAAAGAUGAUGACGGUACCCGGAGAAGAAGCCCCGGCUAACUCCGUGCCAGCAGCCGCGGUAACACGGAGGGGGCUAGCGUUGUUCGGAAUGACUGGGCGUAAAGCGCGCGUAGGCGGUUCGGCAAGUUGGAUGUGAAAGCCCGGGGCUUAACCCCGGAUGUGCGUUCAAAACUGCCGAACUAGAGACCGAGAGAGGAGGGCGGAAUUCCCAGUGUAGAGGUGAAAUUCGU